This 373-nucleotide ribosomal RNA is filed under the name uncultured beta proteobacterium. RNAcentral's name for it is "bacterial SSU rRNA". It matches the Rfam family "Bacterial small subunit ribosomal RNA", at positions 449 to 819 of the family's 1533-position model. Lineage: Bacteria; Pseudomonadati; Pseudomonadota; Betaproteobacteria. The record is from RNAcentral.
CCGGCUCUAACACAGUCCGGGAAUGACGGUACCUGAAGAAUAAGCACCGGCUAACUACGUGCCAGCAGCCGCGGUAAUACGUAGGGUGCGAGCGUUAAUCGGAAUUACUGGGCGUAAAGCGUGCGCAGGCGGUUAUACAAGACAGGCGUGAAAUCCCCGGGCUUAACCUGGGAAUGGCGCCUGUGACUGUAUAGCUAGAGUGUGUCAGAGGGGGGUAGAAUUCCACGUGUAGCAGUGAAAUGCGUAGAUAUGUGGAGGAAUACCAAUGGCGAAGGCAGCCCCCUGGGAUAACACUGACGCUCAUGCACGAAAGCGUGGGGAGCAAACAGGAUUAGAUACCCUGGUAGUCCACGCCCUAAACGAUGCUGACUAG